GAACGCUGGCGGCAGGCUUAACACAUGCAAGUCGAGCGCCCCGCAAGGGGAGCGGCAGACGGGUGAGUAACGCGUGGGAAUCUACCCUUUUCUACGGAAUAACGCAGGGAAACUUGUGCUAAUACCGUAUACGCCCUUCGGGGGAAAGAUUUAUCGGGAAAGGAUGAGCCCGCGUUGGAUUAGCUAGUUGGUGGGGUAAAGGCCUACCAAGGCGACGAUCCAUAGCUGGUCUGAGAGGAUGAUCAGCCACAUUGGGACUGAGACACGGCCCAAACUCCUACGGGAGGCAGCAGUGGGGAAUAUUGGACAAUGGGCGCAAGCCUGAUCCAGCCAUGCCGCGUGAGUGAUGAAGGCCCUAGGGUUGUAAAGCUCUUUCACCGGUGAAGAUAAUGACGGUAACCGGAGAAGAAGCCCCGGCUAACUUCGUGCCAGCAGCCGCGGUAAUAC
Molecule: ribosomal RNA, 447 nt
Filed under: Sinorhizobium sp. DR65
Lineage: Bacteria; Pseudomonadati; Pseudomonadota; Alphaproteobacteria; Hyphomicrobiales; Rhizobiaceae
Description: bacterial SSU rRNA
Rfam family: Bacterial small subunit ribosomal RNA
Source: RNAcentral